UUUUUCCUACGGGGCGCAGCAGUAGGGAAUCUUCCACAAUGGGCGCAAGCCUGAUGGAGCAACACCGCGUGAGUGAAGAAGGGUUUCGGCUCGUAAAGCUCUGUUGUUGGAGAAGAACGUGCGUGAGAGUAACUGUUCACGCAGUGACGGUAUCCAACCAGAAAGUCACGGCUAACUACGUGCCAGCAGCCGCGGGAAUACGUAGGUGGCAAGCGUUAUCCGGAUUUAUUGGG
This 233-nucleotide ribosomal RNA is filed under the name uncultured bacterium. RNAcentral's name for it is "partial 16S ribosomal RNA". It matches the Rfam family "Bacterial small subunit ribosomal RNA", at positions 333 to 558 of the family's 1533-position model. The record is from RNAcentral.